GAUCAUGGCUCAGGGUGAACGCUAGCUACAGGCUUAACACAUGCAAGUCGAGGGGGCAGCAUGGUCUUAGCUUGCUAAGGCCGAUGGCGACCGGCGCGACGGGUGAGUAACACGUAUCCAACCUGCCGUCUACUCUUGGACAGCCUUCUGAAAGGAAGAUUAAUACAAGAUGGCAUCAUGAGUCCGCAUGUUCACAUGAAUUAAAGGUAUUCCGGUAGACGAGUGGGGAU
Molecule: ribosomal RNA, 230 nt
Filed under: uncultured bacterium
Lineage: Bacteria
Description: partial 16S ribosomal RNA
Rfam family: Bacterial small subunit ribosomal RNA
Source: RNAcentral